GACGAACGCUGGCGGCGUGCCUAAUACAUGCAAGUAGAACGCAGUUGCGAACGGGUGAGUAACGCGUAGGUAACUGCCUCAUCGCGGGGGAUAACUAUUGGAAACGAUAGCUAAUACCGCCUACUGUGAGAUGGACCUGAGUUGUAUUAGCUAGUUGGUGAGGUAAAGGCUCACCAAGGCGACGAUACAUAGCCGACCUGAGAGGGUUGUCGGCCAAACUGGGACCUGGAAACGGGCCCGACUCCUACGGGAGGGCGCAGUAGGGGAUUUUCGGCAAUGGACGGAAGUCUGACCGAGCAACGGCGCGGGGGUGAAGAAGGGUUUCGGAUCGGAAAGCUCUGUUGUUAGAGAAGCGGUACCUAACCAGAAAGGGACGGCUAACUACGUGCCAGCAGCCGCGGUAAUAC
This 407-nucleotide ribosomal RNA is filed under the name uncultured bacterium. RNAcentral describes it as "partial 16S ribosomal RNA". It matches the Rfam family "Bacterial small subunit ribosomal RNA", at positions 28 to 526 of the family's 1533-position model. The record is from RNAcentral.